UGAUAUGAACCGUUAUAACCGGCGAUACCCGAAUGGGGAAACCCAGUGUGAUUCGUCACACUAUCAUUAACUGAAUCCAUAGGUUAAUGAGGCGAACCGGGGGAACUGAAACAUCUAAGUACCCCGAGGAAAAGAAAUCAACCGAGAUUCCCCCAGUAGCGGCGAGCGAACGGGGAGGAGCCCAGAGCCUGAAUCAGCAUGUGUGUUAGUGGAAGCGUCUGGAAAGGCGCGCGAUACAGGGUGACAGCCCCGUACACAAAAGCGCAUGUGCUGUGAGCUCGAUGAGUAGGGCGGGACACGUGGUAUCCUGUCUGAAUAUGGGGGGACCAUCCUCCAAGGCUAAAUACUCCUGACUGACCGAUAGUGAACCAGUACCGUGAGGGAAAGGCGAAAAGAACCCCGGCGAGGGGAGUGAAAAAGAACCUGAAACCGUGUACGUACAAGCAGUGGGAGC
RNAcentral lists this ribosomal RNA (454 nucleotides) under Salmonella enterica subsp. enterica serovar Typhimurium var. 5-. RNAcentral's name for it is "bacterial LSU rRNA". It matches the Rfam family "Bacterial large subunit ribosomal RNA", at positions 87 to 580 of the family's 2925-position model. Lineage: Bacteria; Pseudomonadati; Pseudomonadota; Gammaproteobacteria; Enterobacterales; Enterobacteriaceae. The record is from RNAcentral.